CAAUACUUUACAAUUGUCCGUUUUCGUAUUGUUUGUAUCCGAAAUAAAUGAAGCUCUCAGUUAAUUUUCAUUGUUGUUUCUUUUCAGUUAAGAAGUUUUGAAAAAUAUUUUGAUUUGGCAAGUGUCUCACGGAAAAUCGAAGUGGAAUAAAACAGUUAAAGGAACACUAUCGCCAGGGUUAACGGCGCUUCAACUUGGAAUUUUCUUUUGACAUUUUUCUUACGGAUGCCAAACGGAAGAAUCAGGAUGAGUAGCUUUAUUUUUACACAUUUCUUUCCUUUAAUAUCGUAAUGUUUAAUUUAAGGAUUUUGAUAAGAGAUAAUAAGGUGUUUUGCCAAUUUCAAUUAGUAUCGAAGCUUGUAUUUUAGUAAUAUUUUACGUCAUAAUUUCAUGAAAUAAUUACUCUAUACAUUUUUUAAUAACUCACCUGAAAAUAUCUUCUUCUAUACAAUUGAUACACGGUGGUACCAUAUUAAAUGUCGUAUCAGUAGAACAGUAAAUAUAAUACGACGCUCUUUUUACAUCUGUAAUUAAUUGUAUGGAUGACAAUAUGGGAAAUUAUUACACAACAUCGCUGAUAUCUUACAUUUUUGAAUUCACCUUACGAACUCAGACCAUUUACAUUCCACUACUCUAAUACCUUUAUCAACUCACUAACAUCUGCAGUACUUUCCAAAUCAACCAUGGUGUUUUUUUUCUAUCUUCACAGCCGAUAUUGAAAUACUUUUGCUGACUUGUCACGUUGUCUUCCUAAAUUGUUAUACAUUUUUUAGUGUUUACACACAAUUUUUUAAAUUCUUCAAACAGUUGCCUUCUUUAUACAUUUUGCUUUUAUUUUAGAGUUUCUCAAAAACGAAAAAUUAAAGAGCAGAACUUGAUAAAAGAUAUACAACACAAACGCCUGAGAACAAUAUCACACUAAUCAAUAUAAGGUAAAAUGUUAAACAAAUACACACAGAAUAUCUCAAUGAAAAAAUAAACACCUGUAAAAAAAAAUACACCAACACAAGUAAAAAACAAUUAAAUCUCUAAAACAACACUACAUCAAAAUGUAUCAAAUCAAAUAUUCAACACUACAAAACGAAUCUAUGAAACUCAUAACGUAAAAAAUUAAUACAACUGAAAACAAUACUACAUCAGGACAGACAAUGAGAAUAAAUUUAUUUGACAUAGAAAUGAAUACAUCAUCAAAGAGAAAAAGAUAAAACAAACAUUUUUAUGUUAAAUAUGUUAUAUUAAAUGCAGACGUGUUCGUGUACAUCAAUCUUCAUAGAUUUACAAUUUUGUAACUUGAAUUAGAAAUCUCCAUAAUUUCAGAUGAUUCACUGAGUCGAAUGCAGCCCUAAAAUCUACAAAUAAGUAUACACUUUUCGACUUUUUUUGCAAGUUUUACUUUUAACAAAUUCCAUAAAACAAAUAUAUGGUCCACUGUAUAAUAUGAAAACCCGCUUGCAUCUCUGACAAGAUUUUCUCACUCUCUUCCCAUAAUAACAGUUUUUUACAUAGGAUCAUUGAGAAGAUUUUACUAACUGUGUUCAACAGAGCUAUUCCUCUAUAAUUGCUUUCAUUGUUUACAUCAUCUGAUUUGAAAAUGAAAAAUAUUCUCGCCAUUUUCUAGCUAUUACACUAUAUUCCGGUUACCAAAACUUUGUUAAAAAUGUCAAACAAUUUCUAGUUUAAUCGCUCGUCAGCCAAUUUCCAACAUUCCAUCGAAAUACCGUCCAGGCCAACCGCUUUAUCUGACCUUUCUUCUCUCAAAACAAAAUCUAGUUCAUGAGAAAUAUUUGUAUCUAGAUAACUUACAGGUCUCUAAACGAACAAUUUAAUUAACUAGAUUAGUGGUUCCCAACCUUUUUUCAUUAGCGUACCCCGUGACAUGUCAUAUCUCUAG
This is a long non-coding RNA of Centruroides sculpturatus (bark scorpion), 1891 nucleotides long. RefSeq lists it as uncharacterized. The record is from RefSeq and is a predicted model, not a curated record. The transcript is spliced from 3 exons. Lineage: Eukaryota; Metazoa; Arthropoda; Arachnida; Scorpiones; Buthidae.